GGCCCCGUGGCGAAACAGGUAGACGCAAGCGACUUAAAAUCGCUCGCUCAAAAGGCGUACCGGUUCGACUCCGGUCGGGGCCACCA
This 86-nucleotide transfer RNA is filed under the name Alphaproteobacteria bacterium. RNAcentral's name for it is "tRNA-Leu". It matches the Rfam family "tRNA". From Rfam's summary of the family: Transfer RNA (tRNA) molecules are approximately 80 nucleotides in length. Their secondary structure includes four short double-helical elements and three loops (D, anti-codon, and T loops). The record is from RNAcentral. Lineage: Bacteria; Pseudomonadati; Pseudomonadota; Alphaproteobacteria.